RNAcentral lists this ribosomal RNA (327 nucleotides) under uncultured eukaryote. Its description in RNAcentral is "partial 18S ribosomal RNA". It matches the Rfam family "Eukaryotic small subunit ribosomal RNA", at positions 1470 to 1796 of the family's 1831-position model. The record is from RNAcentral.
CCCUUAGAUGUCCUGGGCCGCACGCGCGUUACACUGAUGCAUUCAACGAGCAUAUAACCUUGGCCGAGAGGCCUGGGUAAUCUUGUUAACAUGCAUCGUGAUAGGGAUAGAUUAUUGCAAUUAUUAAUCUUGAACGAGGAAUUCCUAGUAAUCGCAGUUCAUCAAACUGCAAUGAUUACGUCCCUGCCCUUUGUACACACCGCCCGUCGCACCUACCGAUUGAAUGGCCCGGUGAGGACUCGGGAUUGUGGUUUAGCUCCUUCAUUGGGGCCUGACUGCGAGAACUUGUCCGAACCUUAUCAUUUAGAGGAAGGUGAAGUCGUAACA